RNAcentral lists this transfer RNA (72 nucleotides) under Candidatus Bathyarchaeota archaeon. Its description in RNAcentral is "tRNA-Ala". It matches the Rfam family "tRNA". Rfam says of the family: Transfer RNA (tRNA) molecules are approximately 80 nucleotides in length. Their secondary structure includes four short double-helical elements and three loops (D, anti-codon, and T loops). Further hydrogen bonds mediate the characteristic L-shaped molecular structure. tRNAs have two regions of fundamental functional importance: the anti-codon, which is responsible for specific mRNA codon recognition, and the 3' end, to which the tRNAs corresponding amino acid is attached (by aminoacyl-tRNA synthetases). tRNAs cope with the degeneracy of the genetic code in two manners: having more than one tRNA (with a specific anti-codon) for a particular amino acid; and 'wobble' base-pairing, i.e. permitting non-standard base-pairing at the 3rd anti-codon position. The record is from RNAcentral. Lineage: Archaea; Thermoproteati; Candidatus Bathyarchaeota.
GGGCCGGUAGUUCAGUGGUAGAAUGUCCGGUUUGCACCCGGAGGGUCGAGGGUUCGAGUCCCUCCCGGUCCA